RNAcentral lists this unclassified non-coding RNA (220 nucleotides) under uncultured Thelephoraceae. Its description in RNAcentral is "sequence contains ITS2". The record is from RNAcentral. Lineage: Eukaryota; Fungi; Basidiomycota; Agaricomycetes; Thelephorales; Thelephoraceae.
ACACCUCAACUCUCAUGGUUUUCCAUGAUGAGCUUGGACUUUGGGGGUUUUGCUGGCCCAUGUGGUUGGCUCCUCUCAAAUAAAUCAGCUUGCCAGCGUUUGGCGGCUUCACGAGUGUGAUAACUGUCUACGCUUGUGGUUGUCCACCAGGUGACCUUCAGUGAUGGAGGUUUGCUGGAGCUUACAAAUGUCUCUCCUCAGCAGAGACAGCUUUUCGAAU